This 252-nucleotide ribosomal RNA is filed under the name uncultured bacterium. Its description in RNAcentral is "partial 16S ribosomal RNA". It matches the Rfam family "Bacterial small subunit ribosomal RNA", at positions 30 to 289 of the family's 1533-position model. The record is from RNAcentral.
UUGAACGCUGGCGGCAUGCCUUACACAUGCAAGUCGAACGGUAGAGGGGCAACCCUUGAGAGUGGCGAACGGGUGAGUAAUAUAUCGGAACGUGCCCAGUCGUGGGGGAUAACGCAGCGAAAGCUGCGCUAAUACCGCAUACGAUCUAUGGAUGAAAGCGGGGAUCGCAAGACCUUGCGCGAUUGGAGCGGCCGAUAUCAGAUUAGGUAGUUGGUGGGGUAAAAGGCCCACCAAGCCGACGAUCUGUAGCUG